Molecule: long non-coding RNA, 1949 nt
Filed under: Citrus maxima (pomelo)
Lineage: Eukaryota; Viridiplantae; Streptophyta; Magnoliopsida; Sapindales; Rutaceae
Description: long non-coding RNA (CMAX_LNC003668)
Source: RNAcentral
AAUAAACUUCUAUAUACAACUUAAGUUGUAGUAAAAAACUAUAAAUCUAUAAUCAUCCCAUGCUUUAUCUUAAUCCAAUUAUUCCUGAAAAUAAGAGACUUCAUAGCUUCUUCAUUUCGAAUUUCCUAUAGACAAGUACAACUUUUACUUUCUUUUGGCAUUUCUCAAAUAUUAGCUCUCUAUAAACUUGAGAAGUGUUUAUAUGGGUUGAGAAAAGCUCCUUGUUGUUUCCAUAAAGGUAAAUAUAUCUUGAAUUCUUAACCUUUUGGAGGAAUUUAUAUCUUUAGGUUUACGAAGAGAAAAUGCCAACAAUCUUCAGCUAACCCACUUGAACACACCCUUCUUUCCUCUAUUGACAACUAAGAUUACUGCGGGGAUCUCAUAAUCGGGCUUUGGUUCUCGAAUGAGUUUGAUAAACCUUCGUCUCUAGAGCUGGACCCAAUUGAGGUUUUUAGAUUUAUAGAAACCCAUGGCCUACUUCAACCCAAGAACUAAUUCAAAAAUAGAAGAUUCCUCAAGUUUAUAUUGUUAGCCUAGUUACCAUUAUCCUUGAGAUAAUAUCCUCAACAAUAUUCCCAUUUUACGGCGCAGUUCGGAGAUGAUACAUGUAAUGGUAGGCAAUCUGGGGGGCUGAAUCCAAUUUGGUAAUCGCCACCUUUCGGCUGCUUUAAAAUGAAUAUUAUUGAUGCUGCAAUGGAUCAGACGGCUGGGAUAGCAGGACUUGAUAGGAGACAGCAAGAUUCUGGGCCUAGUCCUUUCUUGGGCUUCUCUCCCUUUUUAAACUUGUAGUUUCAUUUUCGUAAUGGACCUUUUGCUCUUCUUAAUUAGGCCUGGGCAUGCUGUAAGUGUUUUCUUGUCGGAGUUAAAGCGAGUGAUGACAAACUUUACGCAACGUGGCUCCUGCGUUUCUACUGUGCAAGUCAUUUUUAUUAAUCAAUUGUCUACCAUACUAUUUACUUUGAAAUAAAUUGAUAUUUCAUUCAUCAUAGAGAACUUUGAGUACCAUCGUACAUCCACUACAAACACACAUAAAAAUCGAUUAACAGAUUAUUUAUUGCAAGUAGACAAUAGAUUAAGUUAUUGUAUUUUCAAGUUAUGAGAGGAAAAACGAUUAUUUAUAAAAUGCAAUGUAUAUUCAUUCUUCCCUUAAUCCACAGGUAAUUAAAGUUUUAAUAAAUAGAUGUAUACAGGUAAUUGCCUAAGGUCUACCAAGCUUCUCAGUUAAUCUACUCAAAAGAAACUUCUCAACAGUCACGUUUUGAUAAAUUGGGAUAUUUUUAACGCCUUUAAUCUUUGAAAGCUCACUCUUAGAAUUGGUUGCCGAGUUUCCGACUAUUAAUUCAACUGUAGUCAUUACUACACGCACACAUAUUUAUGCUUAUGAUACAGUCAGAUUGAAUCUGUUAUAGGCUAAUUAAUUACAAUAUGUUUCUUUUACAAGCUAUAUGAUUGGACCUUAAUUAAUGAUCGAAGAAGAAAUUAUAAGAUUAAGUACUUCUCCUAGAGCUAAUAUUAAUGUAACAAAACAACUUCAGAUAUUUCCCAAUAAGCCACUAGAUCAGGAUCAAAUCCACCAGUCAAUAUUCCACGAGAUUUUUCCAUUUCAUGAAUUAAUAGGUCUGCCAUCACUAGAUUGAGUACGGAAAUUAAAAAAAAAAAAAGAGUAGAAAUGAAAAAUAAAGGAAAUAUCAAUCAUACCUUUUCUUCAGGAGAAAUCAGAUGGAGGGUGGCGCUGGUUUUUUUAUCUAAAGAUGACUCCAUGGAUAAUCCCUUGAAGCCCCAACGCUCUAUUUUUUUUUUGGUUGUUUAAGAAUUAUUUUCGACAAAGUACUUGAACUCGGGGAGAGAUAGGCCUGGAGACAUAUAUAGAUAAGGCAGCGUCUUACGGUCCUAAUGCUGCAACGUGGUCCAAUUCCUUCUCAACGGAGAAAACGUUCUGUCAUCGUCAA